Molecule: ribosomal RNA, 465 nt
Filed under: uncultured bacterium
Lineage: Bacteria
Description: partial 16S ribosomal RNA
Rfam family: Bacterial small subunit ribosomal RNA
Source: RNAcentral
GACGAACGCUGGCGGCGUGCUUAACACAUGCAAGUCGAACGGAAAGGCCCCUUUGGGGGUACUCGAGUGGCGAACGGGUGAGUAACACGUGAGUAACCUGCCCUUGACUUCGGGAUAACUUCAGGAAACUGGGGCUAAUACCGGAUAGGAAUCCUUGCUGCAUGGUGGGGGUUGGAAAGCUUCGGCGGUUUUGGGUGGACUCGCGGCUUAUCAGCUUGUUGGUGGGGUAGUGGCUUACCAAGGCUUUGACGGGUAGCCGGCCUGAGAGGGCGACCGGCCACAUUGGGACUGAGAUACGGCCCAGACUCCUACGGGAGGCAGCAGUGGGGAAUAUUGCACAAUGGGCGGAAGCCUGAUGCAGCAACGCCGCGGGCGGGAUGACGGCCUUCGGGUUGUAAACCGCUUUCAGCAGGGGCGAAGCUUGUGGUGACGGUACCUGCAGAAGAAGCACCGGCUAACUACGUG